AAAGAAAAAACCGUACGAAAGAAAAACAUCAGCAACACAAAUUCAAUGUUGUCAAUAUAUAUAAUUACCAGAAUAAGAAUCAGUUCAAAGGGACAAAAGAUUAUUAUUAUUAUAAAUAUAUAGUAACUACAGAUCCUAUCAGCAAUUUUCCACAGCUUUCUUGAAUUGUCUGUGUCAUUUCUUUUGCAUGGGAUCACUUAAUUUCCUCAGAAGAAAUUAAUUAAGCUCCCUAAUACAGUUCAAGAAAGCUGUGGAAGACCACAGAGAGGACCCUCUAAACCCUCCCAUGCAGAAUUGAUCAUCAUUUGAUCAACCCUAUUUCUUAUAAAUUCUGAGAGAGAAAGAGAAAGAGAAAGAGAAAGAGAAAGGGAGAGGGAUAAUGAAUCAUGAAUCAUGAAUAAUGGUGGAGAAGUAGGUAUAUUUUGGCGAGGAGAAAAGGGUAUAUGUAAAAGGUAGGCUGUUUUCCAAUGAUGUCAAAUAUAUUUCGAUGGCAGUACCACUCCUCACCACACAGCUACAAAACAGUUUGGGCCCUCCAAAUGUGCCCUUGUUUGCAUGGUAUCUUAAAUUUUUAUUGACUUUUAUUGCACUCAUCAAAUCAAUUAAUUACAGUGAAACUUAGAGCAUUAUUAAUUUCAGUAAGAUUCUUGGGGAAGUUAGCACAAGGGAAAUGAUAGUGCGCGCACACUUGUUUUACAAACGUUAUAAAUUUCUUUCACUGCUCAUGUCAUAUAUGUCUAAUUGUCUCUUCAUAUUCGGCAAAAUCAAUGAAUGAAAUAAAGUUUUUUAUUUUUUUUUUCUAGGCAAAUUACAGGGGAGAGGGAGAGUUGGAAGAAACAACAAAGAAAAGAAACACAAGAUAAGAGUUUAUAUUGCGUUAAAUCACUAUUUAAAUAUAUUAACAAAAAGUUAAACAAGUAAAAUUUAACAUGUAAAAUAUUUAAGCGAAAUAGGAUAAACGAUAGAGUUAGCGUUUAAACACAUGCAAGACCUUCAACUCUAAUAAAUAUCAAGUUGAUUUAUAAAUUAUCCCAAAAACUUAAUUAGUUAAUGCGAAAAAUUAAAUUUAAUCAUUUAAUUAAUACUUUAAUAAUACAAAAUCUUUUCAAAAGAUUUACUUAUUGAAUAUUUUAAAGUUGAUAUUUUUUUUGGAAAGGACUCGUUGGAGGUGAGCCGAAUCUAAAUAAAUGGUAAAAGCAUAUUACAUUCCUUUUUUUUCAUAUAUGCAAAAAGAAUAAUACUAUAAACUACACUAUUAUUACAAAAGUAAAUUGAAAGGUAAAUUGGUAUUACUAAAUUAACAAGAUGAUGAGAUAGUGGUAAAGUGUGGUUGAUAGACCGUACUAAAAUUUGAAGUUAGGAAAAACAAAAAGGGGGUAAGAGUAUUUUUAUCUGGUUCUUUAUUAUAGGAAUUUUUUUUAUUUUAAAUAGCUAAAAUUGAUUGUGAAUCAUUUUAUUGCUCUCAUUCGGCUCCUUAUUUUUCUUUUUCUUAAUAAAAUAUUAAUUUCUCUCUCUAAUUUUUUGUUUUAUCCAAUUUUCUUUAUUUUCUCCUUUCAUUUUUUAUUUUUUUUUCUUUGAUUGAGAUUGAACGGAAAAAAAUUGAUUGAAGUUAAUAUUAUAUUUAAAUGAAAAAAUCAAUUUGGAUUUUUAGCUUAGGGAGUCGAAUAUAAGUGUUUAGAAAAAGUAACUCUCUAAAGUAUAGAUAAAUA
RNAcentral lists this non-coding RNA (1709 nucleotides) under Betula luminifera. Lineage: Eukaryota; Viridiplantae; Streptophyta; Magnoliopsida; Fagales; Betulaceae. The record is from RNAcentral.